CCCCUCGCCGUAAAAACCUGUAUACUUUCCCAGAAAUAUAUAACCAUAUAAAAUCUCAACAUUUAAAUCUCAAAUCUUUAACAUUUUCAAGAAAACAUGCCAUGACAUAAAUAAAAAUAUAAAUCAGGUGAAUAAGGAAUCAAUCGGAGACCCUGCAGUUGGUCCUAUACGAUUAAUUCAAUAGCUCAAAUCCCACUAAGCCGGAGUCACCACAGUGACCUAUACGGCCCUACUCUGCACAUUACUCGGAACUACGUAAGGUAGUCUAUACGAUGAAAGGUGUAAAAAUACGCUCUAGUGCUUCUCUCAUCAUAUCAUCAGCGCGCAUAACUAAGGUCACCCACUAGUCGGAAUCACGCCUAGUGAUCUGUACGACUAGCAUGUCGGAACCCUCACAUGGUCUGUACGACAUCCACCUACUUGGAUCCAAGACGAGCGUGCGGUGUGGUGAAUAAUAUAAGCACUAACACCUAGGGUGCAGAUUAUGAGCUCAACUCAUCUCAACAACAACAAUUCAAUGAAUAAAUGAACUCACCUGACUUACCUGUGCCUCCACAGCACCAUGCAACAUGUAUGCAUCAUAUUUCAAUCAUAUAGUUCAUAAACCAAUUCAUGAUUUUCAAAUAAUUCUAUGCAUGGCAUAUUCAAAACAUAUUUUCAUAUAAACAUUUUUCUGGGAAAAACAGUAGUAUAUAGGUAAUACGAAAACAAAACUGCCCACUCACUGAUAAGUCGACGGGUCGUAACCCCCGUGGCGUCCCUGGAUGCGAUCGUCCUCGGGAUACGUCUCACCUAUAUGCGAAACAACUAUAAAAACAUUAAUUUUAAGCACAUCACCAAUAAUUUGAAAUAACUUCUCAUACGAUGCUCAAUUUUGGUAUAUUAAUAUACCACAUCGACCUACUCGACGUCACGAGCGUCGAGAAAUUUUUAGAAAAAUUUUUGGAAGCCCCACGCGCCCCCACGCGCCACACGUGGCACGGGUCCACGCGCUGGCCACGCGCAGCACGUGCAGCGCACGUGUCGUCUUCUUCGCAGGUCUCGCCGGACUGGUUCUCCGGUGGCCGGACUCCGGCCGAACUCCGGCCGAUUUUCAAACUCACUAUUCUCCUUCGUUUUUCACCCAUUUUCUUCGUAUUUUAUACCAAAUUGAAGCCCUAAGAGUGUACAAUCACGUUGGACUUGUUUUAGGGCCUAAAAACUACGAAAUCUCACCUUGGAAAAACCAAAGAUUCGGCCAAACUUGAAACCUACGAUCCCGACGUCCAAAACUCUCCAACGAACGUCCCCGAGCUUCCUUAGAACCUCCUAAAGCUCACCACAAGCUUGAAAUCUCCUGAAACACAACAUUUUUACGUUCGCAUGAACAGUACCUCAAAAAUGGAGGUUCGGGAUCUAUGUGAAAUCGAAGGUUUCACUUCCUAAAACUAGCACCAAUGAACUCAGGACGACGAAAGGAUGAAGAUGCAUACCUUAUUUGCCUCGAUCCGUCGAGUUUUGAAGGGUUUUGGGUGAAGGCCGUACGUAUAGGGUGAGGGGAAAGAGAGAGAUCGUGAGGGAGAGGGACAGAGAGAGCUACGGGAGGGAGAGAAGACAGGGAGUGCGUGUGUGUGUGAUUGUGUGGUCCAACACAAUCCUCACCAUCCAUCCAAUUCCCUAACCACAAAAAUUUCCAAAUUCCAAAAUUAAAAUCCCAAAACUUACAAAAUUAAUUCAAUAAUGUCGCACACACACGUACCCGAAUGUCCGUCAAGGGUAGUUACGUCAAUUCACGUCCCCGAAAUUCCCACAAUCAAAUAACCACUUAGUACCCAUAAAAUAACCUUGGGUACAUCUCUCUCAUCCGAUCUUCCGUCUCCCAGGUGGCUUCCUCUGCAGAAUGGUUCAUCCACAAUACCUUUACCAAACUCACCGUCUUGUUCCUCAGAACCUUAUCUUUCCAAUCCAAGAUAGUGACCGGUUCCUCAUCAUACGUCAAAUCCGGAUUAAUCUCUAACGGUUGAGGAGGGAUCACAUGAGAAGGAUCAGAAAUAUAAUGCCGAAGCAUAGAGACAUGGAACACAUUAUGGACCUUAGAUAACUCCGGAGGCAGUUCCAACCGGUAGGCAACUUCACCAACUCUUUCAAUGAUCACAUAAGGUCCAAUAUAUCUCGGACUUAGCUUCCCUCUUUUCCCAAAUCGUACUACACCUCUCCAAGGCGACAAUUUCAAGAAUACCCAAUCACCCACAUCAUACACUCGAUCAGUAGUAUGCCGAUCCGCUAAACUCUUAUGUCGAUCCUGGGCUGCUUUCAGGUUUGACUUAAUUACCUGAACAUUUUGAGUCGUCUCGUCCACGAUCUCAGGGCCUUCUAAUACCCGUUCACCAACCUCAGACCAACAUAAUGGCGUUCGACACGCCCUACCAUAAAGUGCCUCGAAUGGGGACAUACCAAUGCUCGAGUGAAAACUGUUAUUAUAAGCAAACUCCAUUAAGUCCAGACGAUCAUGCCAAGAAUCACCAAAUUGCAGUACUGAAGAUCUCAACAUAUCCUCCAACGUCUGAAUGGUCCUCUCUGAUUGCCCAUCAGUUUGAGGAUGAUAAGCUGUGCUAUACAGUAAUUGAGUACCCAGAGCUUCCUGAAAAGCCACCCAAAAUUUAGAAGUAAACCUCGGGUCUCGAUCGGAGAUAAUAUUUACUGGGACUCCAUGAUACUUGACAAUCUUCGAAAUAAACAACUUAGCCAAUUUAUUCAGAGGGUAUUUCUCCCUCACAGGAAUGAAAUGCGCAGACUUGGUGAGUCGAUCCACAAUCACCCAAAUACCAUCAAAUCCAUUUCGCGUACGAGGAAGUUUAUACACGAAAUCCAUUGUUAUAUUUUCCCAUUUCCACUGGGGAACAGGAAGGGGUUGCAUUCGCCCAAAGGGCUUCUUCCUUUCUGCUUUCACUUGCUGGCAAAUAAUAUACACCUGCUCACAUAUUCUGCAAUUUCUCUUUUCAUACCCGGCCAAUAAUAAAAUGGUCGAAUGGUAUGAUACAUUUUUGUUCCUCCCGGAUGCAUCGCAUAAGCUGAACAAUGUGCUUCAUCCAGAAUUUCCUUCUUCAAUUCCUCAUUAUUCGGAACAUACAUUCUGUCUUCUUGCAUGAGCAUACCAUCUGAUUCCCGAAUUCUGAGGUCUUUCUUUUUCCCUUCACUUCUUAACUGAACCAACUCUUGAACUUCCUCAUUCACCAUCUGAGCUGCAAGUAUACGGUCCACCAAAACUGGCCUGACUUGAAAACUAGCAAGAAAAGCUCCAUCUCGGUCUUCAAUUUCCAACCUUACCCCCGUUGUCCUCAAUUCAGCAAGAAGAGGAACACGACUCGCAUAUAAGGCAUUAAGCCUACCUUGAGGUUUCCUACUCAGUGCAUCCGCUACUACAUUAGCACGACCUGGAUGGUAUUCAAUAGAACAAUCAUAAUCACUUAACAAUUCCAUCCACCUUCGCUGACGAAGAUUAAGAUCAUGCUGAGUAAACAAAUACUGAAGACUCUUGUGAUCAGUGAAGAUCUUACACUUCUCACCAUACAAGUAAUGCCUCCAAAAUUUUCAAAGCAAAAACAAUUGCUGCCAAUUCAAGAUCGUGAGUAGGAUAGUUCCUUUCAUGAUUUUUCAACUGCCUAGAAGCAUAGGCAAUCACCUUAUUAUGCUGCAUCAAAACACAUCCCAAACCAUUUAAUGAAGCAUCACUAUAUAUCUCAAAAUUACCGUUAUCGUCGGGAAGUACCAACACCGGUGCAUGAGUGAGGCAAUACUUCAAUUGUUGAAAACUCCGCUCACAAUUCUCAUCCCACUCAAAUUUAACAUCCUUCCUGGUCAACUUUGUCAACGGUAAAGCAAUCAUAGAGAAAUCCUGAACGAACCGUCGAUAAUAACCUGCUAAGCCAAGAAAACUUCGUACCUCCGUGACGGUUCGAGGUUGCUCCCAAUUCUCCACUGCUGCAAUCUUUUGAGGAUCAACUUGAAUACCUUGAGCUGAUACAAACAUGCCCCAAAAAUGCCACUUCAGUCAACCAAAACUGACAUUUACUGAACUUGGCAUACAACUGAUGCUCCCUUAAUUUCCUUAACACCAAAUUAAGGUGUCGGAUAUGAUCUGCUUGGGACUUAGAGUAUACCAGAAUAUCAUCAAUAAAAACAAUAACAAAUUUAUCAAGAUAUUUCUGGAAUACCUCAUUCAUUAAUCUCAUAAAAGCUGCAGGUGCAUUAGUCAACCCAAACGGCAUAACCGAAAAUUCAUAAUGUCCGUACCGAGUUCGGAAAGCCGUCUUAGGUACAUCGUCUUCUUUAAUCUUCAAUUGAUAAUACCCGGAUCUCAAAUCAAUCUUAGAAAAUACACACGCACCUUUCAGCUGAUCAAACAAAUCAUCAAUGCGGGGCAAUGGAUAACGGUUUUUAAUCGUUACCCGGUUCAAUUGUCUAUAAUCAAUACACAAUCGAAGAGUUCCAUCCUUCUUUCUUCACAAAUAAUACUGGGGCACCCCAAGGUGAAGAACUAGGUUGAAUAAAACCUUUAUCAAGUAAUUCUUGCAACUGGAUUUUUAAUUCCCUUAACUCAGCAGGAGCCAUUCUAUAAGGAGUCAGAGAUAUAGGGUCCGUACCUGGAAGCAAAUCAAUAGAGAAUUCCACCUCUCUGUCUGGCGGCAAUCCCGGCAAAAUCAUCAGGGAAAACAUCCGGAUAAUGUCUGACCACACCAACUUCUUCUAUACUAGUAGGAGCAACAUCAUUUAAUACCACAUGUGCCAAAUAUCCCUGACAACCCUUCGAUAAUAAUUUCCUCGCCCUUAUGGCAGAAAUAACUCCAUGUCUCACCCCACUUCUCUCGCCCACAAAAAAUAACCUCGGGUAAUCCAGGACGAUAAAAAGUAACUGAUUUACCAUAACAAUCAAUAUGGGCACGAUUAUGGUGUAACCAAUCGGCCCCUAAAAUCACAUCGAAAAUCCACAAUAUCUAACGGAAUAAGAUCAGCGGACAUAAUCACGCCCUCAACCAUCACUGGACACCCCAGAUACACACUAUCCACAAUACAUUUAUCUCCUCUAGGCAUGGCAAACUCUAAAUCAAAUCCUAGAGGUGAAGGGUGAGGUUGGGUUAUUUGAGCAAACGUAUGAGAAAUCACAGAGUGCGCGUAGCACCACAAUCAAUCAAAACCUUAGCAAAAUGACCAAGAACAUUUAACGUACCCAUUAUCAAGUCUGGAUGGUUCUGAGCCUCCUGCAGGGAACAUAUGAUUAACUCGCCCCUGAGCUUGCUGACGUCCACCUCGGCCUCUAUUGCCCUGAUUACCUCGUCCCUGAGGAUUACGUCCCUGGCCUGGCUGACUAGGCUGCCUGGAUGAUCCUGCACCACCAGUAGCAACUUCCCCCUGACGGGGCUGGCCUCCCUGAUGCCACUGCGAUCCACCAGCUGGCAUAGAGGAAUAAGAAGAAUAACCUCCAAAAUCCUGAGAAUACCCUGCCUGAGGAUAAGGCUCCUGAGAAUACUGAUAAGGUCCGGAAGCAUACGGAGCAGCAUCCCCCUGAUAGUGGUAGGCACCACCACGACUCGGCUGGCCAUAACCACCCGGUCCAAAACUCUGCUGAACUGGUGCUGGAGGUGGCAUAUUAGUCUGCUGCGGUCUCUGCUGACCCUGGGGGCACUGAGAAGCCCGAUGUCCCAUCUGCCCACACGUAAAACAAGCACCAGAACCUCUCCUACACUCACCAUGGUGACGGGAGUUACAACGGCGGCACCAUGGAGCGCCAGAUCCACCAGCAUCCCUCUGACCCUGAAAUCUGGGUCCACCAGAAAAUCUUCCACCACCUCUCCUCGGGCCAGUAAAACUAUAUCCCCCACUAGAAGAACUCGAACUCGCUCCACUCUUCUUAAAACUCUGUGUCUGUCGAGGUCCAGGAAUAGAAAUACCCUUACCCUUAUCAUUCUUCUUCUGACCCUCAUUCUUGUCCUCGUCAUCCUCACUGUCAGGAAGAUUAUCAGAGUCCUCCAUCCUAACCAAAAUCUCGAAAUACUCAUGAUAAUCAGCGCAGGGAAGUGCAUUGGCAAAGGUACGCCACUUCUUCUUAGAUCCCAACUUGAAACGUCGAAGCAUCUCUCCCUGAUUACCAGCUAUAUCAGUGUCAUAACGAGACAAAUCAGUAAACUUUCUAUAAUAUUCAUGUGCCGACAUAUUUCUCUGUUUCAACCUGGUGAAUUCCUGCUUCUUACGGUCAAUAUACUCAGGAGGAACGAAUCUCUUCAUAAAAUGCUCCUUGAAUACUUUCCAGUCGGCUGCCGUCUCAGGUGACAUGUACCUAGCCUGAUUUAUCCACCAUGCUGCUGGUUCACGACCCAGAAACCAAGUGGUGGUCUCCACCCACCUAUUAGCAGGGAGAUUCCCCUGACUCUCUGCAUCACCUGAAAGGUUUUUCUCAAUAUGAUCAAGCCAUUUCUCUGCCCCCUCAUGACUUUCAUUACCCAUAAACCGAUCUAACUUCAAGUUGUACAUGGUCUCCAGAGGUGUCCUCGGAGGAGGGGGAGGACGAAUCACAUUCUGUAAAGCCUGGGCCAUCGCUUCCCCUAACUGAGUAAUAUCCGGGAAAUUAGGUUCAGGAGUACGGCGGGACUCCCUACGCUCUCUACGAGGCGGCAUGAUUCUGACAGAAAACAUCAAAAGAUCGUUAAGACAUUAACAAUUUUACAGGACUGCAACCUAAGCUCUGAUACCAAACUGACACACCCUGAUCCGGAGGAUCCAGGUGUGCUGGCCGUCACGUGGGCGUGACGUAACCAUAAGCACGACACGGAAGCGUAAUAACAACAUAUAACAACAGAAAUUCAACCCAAACUCAACAUAACCACAUACGGACAUAACCGGACGAGUUACAAGUAAACACAUAAGUUCAGAGCAUAGAUUAACUGCAGUCAAGUAGGACUAAAAUAAGAAUACAUCACCCUCAGGUGAGUCCUACAUGUCCCAAAUCUGUCAGAAAGCCGGAAAGGACCUCGUGAGCCAACCACCGCUAAACUAGAACCUGGAGGGGCGCAAAACAAAAUGAGUGGGUCAGUAAAACAAAUUAGUUUUCCAAAACAUUUCAUUAAAACAGUUAUAUCCCCUCGCCGUAAAAACCUGUAUACUUUCCCAGAAAUAUAUAACCAUAUAAAAUCUCAACAUUUAAAUCUCAAAUCUUUAACAUUUUCAAGAAAACAUGCCAUGACAUAAAUAAAAAUAUAAAUCAGGUGAAUAAGGAAUCAAUCGGAGACCCUGCAGUUGGUCCUAUACGAUUAAUUCAAUAGCUCAAAUCCCACUAAGCCGGAGUCACCACAGUGACCUAUACGGCCCUACUCUGCACAUUACUCGGAACUACGUAAGGUAGUCUAUACGAUGAAAGGUGUAAAAAUACGCUCUAGUGCUUCUCUCAUCAUAUCAUCAGCGCGCAUAACUAAGGUCACCCACUAGUCGGAAUCACGCCUAGUGAUCUGUACGACUAGCAUGUCGGAACCCUCACAUGGUCUGUACGACAUCCACCUACUUGGAUCCAAGACGAGCGUGCGGUGUGGUGAAUAAUAUAAGCACUAACACCUAGGGUGCAGAUUAUGAGCUCAACUCAUCUCAACAACAACAAUUCAAUGAAUAAAUGAACUCACCUGACUUACCUGUGCCUCCACAGCACCAUGCAACAUGUAUGCAUCAUAUUUCAAUCAUAUAGUUCAUAAACCAAUUCAUGAUUUUCAAAUAAUUCUAUGCAUGGCAUAUUCAAAACAUAUUUUCAUAUAAAACAUUUUUCUGGGAAAAACAGUAGUAUAUAGGUAAUACGAAAACAAAACUGCCCACUCAC
RNAcentral lists this long non-coding RNA (7837 nucleotides) under Malus domestica (apple). Its description in RNAcentral is "long non-coding RNA (MDOM_LNC008686)". Lineage: Eukaryota; Viridiplantae; Streptophyta; Magnoliopsida; Rosales; Rosaceae. The record is from RNAcentral.